Podarcis raffonei (Aeolian wall lizard) is the source of this 73-nucleotide non-coding RNA. The record is from the annotation of a RefSeq genome assembly. Lineage: Eukaryota; Metazoa; Chordata; Lepidosauria; Squamata; Lacertidae.
UGGGCUGUAGCUCAGUGGUAGAGCAACCUGCUUUGUGUGCAGAAGGUCCCAGGUUCAAUCCCUGGCAUCUCAA